Molecule: RNA transcript, 3978 nt
Organism: Lycium ferocissimum
Lineage: Eukaryota; Viridiplantae; Streptophyta; Magnoliopsida; Solanales; Solanaceae
Gene name: structural maintenance of chromosomes protein 2-1
Exons: 21
Source: RefSeq, a predicted model, not a curated record
GGCUAGAUUUAUAAUUCCACAUUUUCAAACAAAAAAACUUCGUCCUUUAGACCAAUUUCUUGGGUUUUGAUCUCCAAAGCCCUCUUUUUUACUUUCAUUUCUAGGGUUUUGAUUUUCUCUCAGUAACCAACCAUGCAUAUCAAAGAAAUUUGCUUAGAAGGGUUCAAAUCCUAUGCAACAAGAACAGUCGUCUCGGGUUUCGACCCGUUUUUCAAUGCCAUAACCGGUUUGAACGGGUCUGGUAAAUCCAACAUUUUGGACUCAAUUUGCUUUGUUUUAGGGAUUACCAAUUUGCAACAGGUUAGGGCUUCUAAUCUACAAGAGUUAGUGUAUAAGCAAGGCCAAGCUGGAAUUACUAAAGCUACGGUGUCCGUUGUGUUUGAUAAUUCGGAUCGUAGUCGAAGUCCUUUGGGAUAUGAAGAUUGUUCUGAGAUUACUGUUACCCGUCAGAUUGUGGUUGGUGGAAGGAACAAAUAUUUGAUCAACGGGCACCUUGCACAGCCAAGUCGGGUUCAGAAUCUUUUUCACUCUGUGCAGCUAAAUGUAAACAAUCCGCAUUUUCUUAUUAUGCAAGGGCGCAUUACAAAAGUCUUGAACAUGAAACCUCCUGAAAUCUUGUCUAUGCUUGAAGAAGCUGCUGGUACAAGAAUGUACGAGACAAAGAAAGAAGCUGCAUUGAAAACUCUUGAAAAGAAACAAAGUAAAGUUGAUGAGAUUGACAAGCUCUUAGAUCAGGAAAUUCUUCCUGCUUUGGAGAAGCUGAGGAAAGAGAGGAUGCAGUAUAUGCAAUGGGCGAAUGGAAAUGCAGAAUUGGACAGACUUAAACGGUUUUGCGUUGCCUAUGAGUAUGUUCAAGCUGAAAAAAUUAUGGCUGAUGCAGUACAAGGUUUAGAAGGUAUGAAGUCUAAGAUAACUGAAAUUGAUAGUAACGUGGGUAAGAUGCACGAAGAGAUACAGGAAAUGGAAAAGAGAGCAUCAGAAUUGCAAGCUGAGAAAGACGCGAAUAUGGGUGGGGAGAUAAAGCUUUUGACUGAGAAGGUUGACGCUCUAUCAUGUGAUCUGGUGAAGGAAACAUCUGUCUUAAAAAAUCAAGAGGAUAUUUUAAAGACUGAGAAAAAGAAUUGUGUGAAGAUUGGAAAAAAUCUCGAAGAAUUGAAGCAAUCCGCAGAAGAAAAGGCUGCUGCUGUAAGAAAGGCUGAAGAAGGAGCAUCAGACGUCAAGAAAAGAGCUGAGGAGCUUUCUAUGAGUCUUGAAGCGCAUGAAAAGGAGUACCAGGGUGUGUUGGCUGGUAAAAGUAGUGGGAAUGAGGAGAAAUGCCUCGAAGAACAACUAGCCGACGCCAAAGUAGAAGUUGGAAAUGCUGAAACGGAACUGAAACAGUUGCAAACAAAAAUAAACCAUUGUGAAAAAGAGCUAAAAGGGAAGAAAACUCAGCUAUUAUCAAAGCGUGAAGAAGCUGCUGCAGUGGAAAAUGAGCUUAGCAAUGGGAAGAAACAAGUGGAAAAACUUCAGAAAGCUUUGGAAGCUCUUUCAUACAAAGAGGAGCAGAUGGAUUUAUUACAAAAUGAUCGUGCCAUUGAAGUAGAGGCUAUACAAAAGUUAAGAGAUGAAAUACGUGUUCUUUCCUCUCGUCUGGCCAAUAUUGACUUCACAUAUAGUGACCCAGUGAAGAAUUUUAAUAGAUCAAAGGUGAAAGGUGUAGUUGCGAAACUCAUUAAAGUGAAGGAUAGUUCUGCAAUGACUGCGCUAGAGGUAGCUGCUGGAGGGAAGUUGUUUAAUAUUGUGGUAGACACAGAAGAUACAGGAAAACAACUUCUACAAAAGGGCGGUCUUAGGAAGAGAGUGACUAUUAUACCCUUAAACAAAAUUCAAACUCAUCCUGUUCCACCAAAACAUCAAAACGCUGCUGCUAGACUGGUCGGAAAGGGCAAUGCUGAAGUGGCAAUUUCUCUAGUUGGAUAUGAUGAAGAACUCAAAAGUGCAAUGGAGUACGUAUUUGGUUCAACGUUUGUUUGCAAAACUAUUGAUGCGGCACGAGAGGUUGCUUUUAGUCGGGAAGUUGGAAUACCCAGCGUGACACUUGAAGGUGAUAUUUUUCAGCCUAGUGGACUUUUAACUGGUGGUAGUCGAAGGGGCGGUGGUGAUUUAUUGAGACAACUUCAUGCUUUGGCAGAGGCAGAAUCAAAACUUUCAUUUCAUCAAAAGCGUCUUUCCGAAAUCGAUGCCAAGAUUAAUCAGCUCAUUCCCCUUCAAAGAAAAUUCAAAGACCUGAAGGCUCAGUUGGAACUUGCAUCAUAUGAUCUGUCAUUGUCCCAGAGCAGGGCUGAACAAAAUGAGCAUCACAAGCUUGGUGAACUUGUAAAAAAGAUAGAGCAGGAGCUUGGAGAAGCAAAAUCUGGCGUCGAAGAGAAAAAACUUGUCUACGAAAGCUGUCUGGCCAAAGUAUCAUGUCUUGAAAAGUCAAUUCAUGAUCAUGCUGGUAAUAGGGAGACCAGACUGAAAGAUCUAGAAAAAAAGGUUAAGACUAUAAAAAGUCAGAUGCAGUCUGCACUGAAGGACCUAAAGGGGCAUGACAAUGAAAGGGAGAGACUUAUAAUGGAGAUGGAAGCUGUCAAACAGGAACAUGCAUCCCUUGAGAGUCAGUUAGUUUCUCUGAACAAACAGAUUGAGGAUCUUGCAUCUGAAGUGGAUUCCCAAAAGGCAAAGGUUGCUUCUUUGAAAGAUAAUCAAGGCCUGGUCCAAUCAGAACUUAACUCAGCUCGUCUGAAGAUGAAGGAAUGUGAUUCUCAAAUCUCAAGUAUUCUCAAGGAGCAGCAGCGACUUCAGAAUAAAAUUAGCGAGACCAAUCUUGAGAAGAAGAGAAUGGAAAAUGAGGUGAAGCGCAUGGAGAUGGACCAAAAAGAUUGCUCCUUGAAAGUUGAGAAAUUAAUAGAAAAACAUGCCUGGAUUGCGUCUGAGAAGCAACUGUUUGGAAGAAGUGGUACUGAUUAUGAUUUUGGAUCUCGUGAUCCUCGUAAUGCAAGGGAAACUUUUGAAAAGCUUCAAGCUGAUCAGUCAGGGCUUGAGAAAAGGGUCAAUAAGAAGGUUAUGUCGAUGUUUGAAAAAGCUGAAGACGAGUACAAUGACUUGAUGUCAAAGAAGAACAUUAUUGAGAAUGACAAAUCAAAAAUUAAAAAGGUGAUUGAAGAGCUUGAUGAGAAGAAGAAGGAAACACUUAAAGUUACUUGGGAAAAAGUUAACAGAGAUUUUGGAUCCAUAUUUUCUACUUUGUUACCUGGUACCAUGGCAAAGUUAGAACCUCCUGAAGGAGGUAGCUUCUUAGAUGGCUUGGAGGUUCGUGUUGCAUUUGGAGCAGUUUGGAAACAAUCAUUAUCUGAGCUUAGUGGUGGGCAGAGAUCUCUACUUGCACUCUCUCUCAUUCUGGCUUUGCUUCUUUUCAAGCCAGCCCCACUUUAUAUCCUGGACGAGGUUGAUGCAGCUCUUGACUUAAGUCACACACAGAACAUCGGAAGAAUGAUCAAGAGUCAUUUUCCACAUUCUCAGUUUAUUGUUGUAUCUUUGAAAGAGGGUAUGUUUAACAAUGCCAAUGUUCUCUUCCGAACAAAAUUUGUGGAUGGCGUCUCAACAGUGCAGAGAACAGUUGCAGCUAAAAACAAGUGAUUUCACGAAAUGGUGAGACUGUAAUUUUGCUUGCAGUAAAUUCAGUUUCAUAUGCUCGGGGGCAUGUGUAUAAGUUCUGGUUUCCCUCCAAUGUGUAGUAAAUCUCACCCCAAUACAUUCUAAUUAUCUUGUCUAACACCUUCCUUUUCCUGCAUAAGUAGCAUCUGCGACUACUUUUUGGCUUAUUUCUGUAUUAUUUAAUUUUGCCGGGGGCAUUUUAUUUGUGUAAGAACUAUUAGCUUGGUGCAGUAAGCCCAUAACUCCUCGUUGUGACUUGAGCAUGACAUGCUAGUGCUAUCAAAAUGCACACAUGCUCUA